UCCAGACUCCUACGGGAGGCAGCAGUGGGGGAUAUUGCACAAUGGGGGGAACCCUGAUGCAGCGACGCCGCGUGGGUGAAGGAGCGUUUCGGCGCGUAAAGCCCUAUCGGCAGGGAAGAAGGAGGACGGUACCUGACUAAGAAGCCCCGGCUAACUACGUGCCAGCAGCCGCGGUAAUACGUAGGGGGCAAGCGUUAUCCGGAUUUACUGGGUGUAAAGGGGGCGCAGACGGCAGCGCAAGCCAGGAGUGAAAGCCCGGGGCCCAACCCCGGGACUGCUCUUGGAACUGCGCGGCUGGAGUGCAGGAGGGGCAGGCGGAAUUCCUGGUGUAGCGGUGAAAUGCGUAGAUAUCAGGAGGAACACCGGUGGCGAAGGCGGCCUGCUGGACUGCGACUGACGUUGAGGCCCGAAAGCGUGGGGAGCAAACAGGAUUAGAUACCCGCGUAGG
RNAcentral lists this ribosomal RNA (448 nucleotides) under uncultured bacterium. Its description in RNAcentral is "partial 16S ribosomal RNA". It matches the Rfam family "Bacterial small subunit ribosomal RNA", at positions 330 to 794 of the family's 1533-position model. The record is from RNAcentral.